RNAcentral lists this ribosomal RNA (442 nucleotides) under uncultured bacterium. RNAcentral describes it as "bacterial SSU rRNA". It matches the Rfam family "Bacterial small subunit ribosomal RNA", at positions 354 to 796 of the family's 1533-position model. The record is from RNAcentral.
GUGGGGAAUAUUGCGCAAUGGCCGAAAGGCUGACGCAGCGACGCCGCGUGGGGGAUGAAGCAUUUCGGUGUGUAAACCCCUGUUGCCCGGGACGAACAAGCGAUUUCGAUCGCUCUGACGGUACCGGGUGAGGAAGCACCGGCUAACUCCGUGCCAGCAGCCGCGGUAAUACGGAGGGUGCGAGCGUUGUCCGGAAUCACUGGGCGUAAAGGGCGCGUAGGCGGUGACUUAAGCGUGUGGUGAAAGCCCGGGGCUCAACCCCGGGUCUGCCGUGCGAACUGGGUCACUCGAGCACUGUAGAGGCAGGUGGAAUUCCGGGUGUAGCGGUGGAAUGCGUAGAGAUCCGGAAGAACACCGGUGGCGAAGGCGGCCUGCUGGGCAGUAGCUGACGCUGAGGCGCGACAGCGUGGGGAGCAAACAGGAUUAGAAACCCGGGUAGUCC